RNAcentral lists this long non-coding RNA (2920 nucleotides) under Homo sapiens (human). RNAcentral's name for it is "HSALNT0077359". The record is from RNAcentral. Lineage: Eukaryota; Metazoa; Chordata; Mammalia; Primates; Hominidae.
AAUAUUUAAAAUUAAAGAUAAACAUCUAGCUUUCCCCAGUUUCUUUAAUCUUUACUUUUAUUUCCUCCUUUACCCUUCCUGGAAAGAAAUGUUUAUAUAUUUUUACAUACAUGUCUGUAUAUUUAUUUUUUACUUUCACAACAUUAAUAGAGUAUGGUGCUUUGUCCAAAUCAAAAUGUGUAGAACUUCCUUCUUCUUUUAAUUAUAUGCAUAGAUUCCAGUGUUUAAAUUUCGUGUAACUACCCUUCCCACGUCCCUUCUUUCUGCCCUCUUGCCAUUAUCAGCUUCUUCAAAUCUAUCAUAUACACAACAGCUGUGAUGAUUAAUACUGAGUGUCAGCUCAAGUGGAUUGAAGGAUGCAAAGUAUUGUUCCUGUGUGUCUGUGAGGGUGUUGCCAAAGAUGUGUCUGUGUGGUGUGUCUGUGAGGGUGUUGCCAAAGGAGAUUAACAUUUGAGUCAGUGGACUGGUAGUGGCAGACCCACCCUCAAUCUGGCUGGACACAAUCUAAUCAGCUGCCAGCGAGGUUAGUAUAAGGCAAAAGAUGGAAGAGGAGACUGUCUGAGUCUUCCGGCUUUCAUCUUUCUCCCAUGCUGGAUGCUUCCUGGCCUUAAGCAUCAAACUUCAAGUUUUUCAGCUUUUGUACUCUUGGACUUACACCAGUGGUUUGCCAGGGGCUUUUGGGCCUUUGGCCACAGACUGAAGGCUGCACUGUCGACUUGCCUGCUUUUGAGGUUUUGGAACUCAAACUGAUUCACCACUGGCUUCCUUGCUCCUCAACUUGCAGAUGGCCUAUCAUGGGAACUUACUUUAUGAUUGCGUGAAUCUUGGUUUCCCUGUGGGCAAUGAUGUAUGGAACUUACGAACAAUAUGGGCAGAUCAACAAACAGCACAUAAAGGUCAUUAUGCAAUCUUUCUCGGACUCAGCUCUCUAAUUCUUAAGAACUAUUAUCCUCCAUUUACAGUUAAGUAAACUGAGGCCCUGGAAAAUGAGGCACUUUAGUUUUAAAAGCUGCUAAAGUCUAUUGCUACAUCAUGCAGCUAGCCUGGGCUCUGCUUUGCUUGUGUCAGUCAGCUCUGAAGAAGUCUCUGUCCUGUAAUUUAGACUGUAUGCCAUUAAGUGGGAUUAGUUCAGGGAAAUUCACAGGAAUAACAAAAGACAGAAAACAUGAGGAUGAUGGGCCCCACCCCAGGACGGAAAAUGUGUGGAAACAUCAAGGGAAUAAAAGUGUGUCAGUUUCAGUUCUGGACUCCACAUUUUGCUAGGGACAUUACCAACUAUCCAGAAGACAGAGAUGGGAAAUGUAAAGGGACUGCAAAAAAGCCAUGUUACAUAAAGAACCGUGAAAGAAACUGGAAAUAAUUUCCUUAGAGGACAGAAGAUUCCUAGGAAAUAAGACAAUGAACAAUGAGUGUUGGAGAAUGUCCUUUCCUGCCUCUUAAUCAUUCUGAAUCGAAACUAAUGAUAAACUUCAAUCAAUGACAUUGAGGGGAUGGGUAAGGGAUAAUAUAAAGAGUCCUCUAUGCAUGCUAAUUUGUUGUUACAUGUGACCUAAGAUGGUGGUUUCUUGCUUUAAAGACCUUACUAAUCAUUACAGAGUAUUCUUAUUCUCUGCUCAAUAAUUUGGAAAUGACUUAGGUCCUGUAACUCUCUGUGUCUCUAAUUUCUGAUCUCUGUAUUCAUCCAUGCUGUCUUUAGUACAAGUAUUUAUUUAUGUAGACUUCCCUUGUUCUGUUCUUUAUGUUACAUGGAGGAAAUUCUGAGAAACUUCAUCAGUAGCACUAUGAAACUCCUUCCAUACAGAACAGUCUAGAACAGGCAUUGUCAAACUGGGCUAAAUCUGUUCUGCCAUCUGCUUUUCUAAAGAAAAUGUUGUUGGAACACAACCACGUUCAUUCAUUUCUGUAUUGUCUGUGGCAGAGAUUGACCAUCACGAUAGAGACCAUAUGAGUUGAAAAGCCUAAAACAUUUAUUACCUGGCUCUGAACAGAAAAUACUUGCUGACUUCUGGUCUGGAACAGCACUGUGUAUAUACCUCAGGUUUAAUACUGGAAGUCUCCAUUAGUCCUUCUUCAGAGGUGACUAGAGUGCACAGUCAUAAUGACAGGGCCCCAAGGACUUCUCUAACUCACACUCCCUGUCCAGUCACCUUCACUGCAACAACCAUCUUACCAAGGGGUGCUGUCACUGCUCCUGUCCACUUUCUGGCCGUCAGAUGCCUCGAGAGUUCUUCUUGCCCUUGAUAAGGAAUAAACUUGUCAGUUGCAUGUGGCAGUUUUUCAACUGAUUUGGGAGAUGAUGCAGAUUUUGCUAUUUCUUAACUUUCAAUUGUUGUGUUUUCUGGUUCUCAGUAGGGAGACAUGAAGAAAAUUGCUGAUUCCCUUCAGUUAAAUAACAGUUUAGAUUAAACCAGCAAGAACUUUUGCUCUUUAAUAAAAUGCAAAGUUACCAUGCCUUUCUCCGGCUCGAUCAUUCAUGCAUCAUAAUGUGAAUGGAGUUGUAGGAGUAUGAUGUUUAUUCUCACAAUAGGUUUAAUUCUGAGUAAAAGCACUAAUUGAAAAAUCAGAAGAAUUUUGUCUUUAAGAGCUCAUGUUAAUGCAUGCAUUCAUCCAUCUGAAUUUUGAUGAUCUCGGUUUUUUUCUGUGUAAAUUCUUAUCAGAAUGGAGUGACUCUAAAUUGCGCCCUGCUUGUAACUUUCAUGUAUGAUUUGCUCCCUUGUUGUUUACCAGCCCUUUUAAAACUACAUAGUAGAAAGAAAAUAUUUUAAACAAUGUCACAUCCAGACGGUGAUUUCUCAAAGCUUCAAAUGCAGGCUUUAAUCCUUCUCCCAGGUUAGCCAGACUCAGGCUGCUGCACAGCACUGGGGCUUUUCAGACACAUUAAGGAUUCUGGACAGGCUUCACCCCAGACACCCUUGUGCUC